RNAcentral lists this ribosomal RNA (497 nucleotides) under uncultured bacterium. RNAcentral's name for it is "partial 16S ribosomal RNA". It matches the Rfam family "Bacterial small subunit ribosomal RNA", at positions 28 to 507 of the family's 1533-position model. The record is from RNAcentral.
GACGAACGCUGGCGGCGUGCCUAAUACAUGCAAGUUGAGCGAUGAAGAUUGGUGCUUGCACCAAUUUGAAGAGCAGCGAACGGGUGAGUAACGCGUGGGGAAUCUGCCUUUGAGCGGGGGACAACAUUUGGAAACGAAUGCUAAUACCGCAUAACAACUUUAAACAUAAGUUUUAAGUUUGAAGGAUGCAAUUGCAUCACUCAAAGAUGAUCCCGCGUUGUAUUAGCUAGUUGGUGAGGUAAAGGCUCACCAAGGCGAUGAUACAUAGCCGACCUGAGAGGGUGGUCGGCCACAUUGGGACUGAGACACGGCCCAAACUCCUACGGGAGGCAGCCGUAGGGAAUCUUCGGCAAUGGACGAAAGUCUGACCGAGCAACGCCGCGUGAGUGAAGAAGGUUUUCGGAUCGUAAAACUCUGUUGGUAGAGAAGAACGUUGGUGAGAGUGGAAAGCUCAUCAAGUGACGGUAACUACCCAGAAAGGGACGGCUAACUACGUG